Rhipicephalus sanguineus (brown dog tick) is the source of this 473-nucleotide long non-coding RNA. RefSeq lists it as uncharacterized. The transcript has 3 exons. NCBI's taxonomy places the organism in Eukaryota, Metazoa, Arthropoda, Arachnida, Ixodida, Ixodidae. The record is from RefSeq and is a predicted model, not a curated record.
ACAUCUUGCAGGAAACCAAGGUAGCAUUCAAUCGAGACCCACCAGCUCACUGGGUCAAGACGUCCCGCUGCCAAGUUCCUGAACAAAAAGAGACCAGAGAUGGCUUCAAGGACGACGUAUGUGGUAGAACGGUGGAAGAAGGCACGGCAGGAUUGUGCAGAAUGCAUUACGUGGAAUACCUCGGGCAGCUAAUCUUCAAGAACCACAUCGACCCGGUGCCCAUAUUCGACGUUGAAGAGCUGGAGCUGGUGCUGAAGCGCGCAAAUAUCCGGCUGCCGUCGCGCUACAAGCUGUCGGAUCGCGAAUACCAGGACGUCCUCAUCAAGGUUAUCAACACCGAUGUGCACUGGAAAAAAGUGCUGGCUUAAACCAAUGACGCAAGGUUACAUCAUAAUGCGACGUCUUAGGGCCGAGGUGCAACACUAAGAACAUCAACUCUCGGUGUUCUGAAAAAAAAAUGCAACAUCAUUUUU